UACUGAUGGACGGAAAAUGGUCGUACACGCUGAACUGUCAAUGUGCAACUCGACAUUUUUUCAAGAUAUAUUAUUUUGAAACGUCCUGCUCCUCGUUCGGCGAAGGCUGUAUAGAUUCAUAACUGGAUUCCCCCAUACAUUGUGAAUGUCAGUGUUCUUAGGUUGUUUUCCUGUUUCAGCGACUUUCAAACCUUGCGUUUAUUUUUUAAGAUUUAUUAAAGCUGAUGGCUGGCUGAACGUUUUAUUAAUGAAAGAAAACCUUUCUUUCUCUCUCUCUCUUUAUAGUGUAAAUACUAAAAGCAUGUAUCACUGUUAUGUUUUUACAGUCACUUGUUCUGUAUUUAUGUCGCAUGGCGCUAAGUAUGAGUUAGACAAAUAUACACAUCCAUAGCUUAACGCCACCAAGAGGAAACGACUAUUCAGGCAGUAGCCCUUAAAUCUAACAUUAGAUGUUAAAGUACGUCUCUUGCUGUAUUCAAUCCAGUAUCCAGUGAUAUUUUAAACACUCGCUCAUCCUACCAAAUGGCAGUUAAUACAUUCAAACCACCGGAAAUUUCAAAAUGCAGAAUUUCGGGCUUUAGUAAGGCUGUCACCGCAGGAGUAUAUGGCUAUGCCCAGCUGUUUAUCCUUCCUGGACAGCUGGCAUCUGAGCUAUAUAACAGUGGCUCACACGGGAAACCUCCGGAGGUUAUUUGUCCCUCUCUCCUUCAUUAUAUUAAGACACUUUGCCGCAACCACUUUAUAUCCUAGAGCUAACGCCAGCAUGACCAGCAGUAUUUAUAUUAAUCCUUGAAAAAGUUGUAGCUACAGCCAGGCCAGUCUCCUCUUCCAGUGCGUUCUAGAUAUCGAUAUCUACUCCAUCUGUAGAAAAAAUAUAUUGUAAUAUAUUGUAAAAAAAAUAAUCGAUCAACAUCAAAUAAAAGCAGGAAUUCACAAAUGUUCUGCGUGGUGAUCUAAACCGAUUCUUAAGUGCCCGUUGGGUUCACCAGCAGAUGGCGGCUUACGAGCACAGCACACAGCACAACUACUUACAAGCAAACAGCAUGACUAUGAAAAGGCAGACUAUGAAAAUGUGUCAAAGCAGGACGAGGAGUGACCUCUCCAAAGGACCAGUGAACACUAUGUAUUCAGAAGACCAGCCAUUUUGCAGACCUAUAUGGAGGAGCAGAACAGGCUCUACACAACUAAUUCGUUUUUCUGACCAAAAUGUGACAUUCUCAAUUAGGGAACUCCAAUUACAUUGGUGUGAAAGCAGUGUUAAUGAAAAAAUUGACCGAAUGGAUAAUAAUAAUAUUAAUAUGAUUCAAUUGUGGAUUGUCAUGAACAACUGAUGCUAGAAACAAGUAUACAGUAAAUAUAUAAAAGUGACAUUGUCUAUUGUACUCUUUUGUGUACACAAGUCCAGAUAAAGCAUUUCUGUUUAGGCUAUUUGGUAUGUUUAUAAUGCUGAAAUGAUGUAAACUACAACAUAAAAUUAAAUGCAAGCUUUGUAAUUUAAAACACCUUGCACUGUACCUCUAAAGCAAACUAUAUUAAACGA
Molecule: long non-coding RNA, 1540 nt
Organism: Lepisosteus oculatus (spotted gar)
Lineage: Eukaryota; Metazoa; Chordata; Actinopteri; Semionotiformes; Lepisosteidae
Source: RefSeq, a predicted model, not a curated record